RNAcentral lists this transfer RNA (64 nucleotides) under Eulepethus nanhaiensis. RNAcentral's name for it is "tRNA-Gly". Lineage: Eukaryota; Metazoa; Annelida; Polychaeta; Phyllodocida; Eulepethidae. The record is from RNAcentral.
ACCUUCUUAGUAUAACCACGUACAUUUGCCUUCCAAGCAAAAAGUUUGAACCUCAAAGAUGGUA